AUUGAACGCUGGCGGCAGGCUUAACACAUGCAAGUCGAGCGGAGUGAUGGUGCUUGCACUAUCACUUAGCGGCGGACGGGUGAGUAAUGCUUAGGAAUCUGCCUAUUAGUGGGGGACAACAUCUCGAAAGGGAUGCUAAUACCGCAUACGUCCUACGGGAGAAAGCAGGGGAUCACUUGUGACCUUGCGCUAAUAGAUGAGCCUAAGUCGGAUUAGCUAGUUGGUGGGGUAAAGGCCUACCAAGGCGACGAUCUGUAGCGGGUCUGAGAGGAUGAUCCGCCACACUGGGACUGAGCCACGGCCCAGACUACUACGGGAGGCAGCAGUGGGGAAUAUUGGACAAUGGGGGGAACCCUGAUCCAGCCAUGCCGCGUGUGUGAAGAAGGCCUUAUGGUUGUAAAGCACUUUAAGCGAGGAGGAGGCUUACCUAGUUAAUACCUGGGAUAAGUGGACGUUACUCGCAGAAUAAGCACCGGCUAAUUCUGUGCCAGCCGCCGCCGUAA
This 503-nucleotide ribosomal RNA is filed under the name uncultured bacterium. Its description in RNAcentral is "partial 16S ribosomal RNA". It matches the Rfam family "Bacterial small subunit ribosomal RNA", at positions 30 to 523 of the family's 1533-position model. The record is from RNAcentral.